GAUGAACGCUGGCGGCGUGCCUAAUACAUGCAAGUCGAGCGAACGGACGAGAAGCUUGCUUUUCUGAUGUUAGCGGCGGACGGGUGAGUAACACGUGGAUAACCUACCUAUAAGACUGGGAUAACUUCGGGAAACCGGAGCUAAUACCGGAUAAUAUUUUGAACCGCAUGGUUCAAAAGUGAAAGACGGUCUUGCGGUAACUUAUAGAUGGAUCCGCGCUGCAUUAGCUAGUUGGUAAGGUAACGGCUUACCAAGGCAACGAUGCAUAGCCGACCUGAGAGGGUGAUCGGCCACACUGGAACUGAGACACGGUCCAGACUCCUACGGGAGGCAGCAGUAGGGAAUCUUCCGCAAUGGGCGAAAGCCUGACGGAGCAACGCCGCGUGAGUGAUGACGGUCUUCGGAUCGUAAAACUCUGUUAUUAGGGAAGAACAUAUGUGUAAGUAACUGUGCACAUCUUGACGGUACCUAAUCAGAAAGCCACGGCUAACUACGUG
Molecule: ribosomal RNA, 497 nt
Filed under: uncultured bacterium
Lineage: Bacteria
Description: partial 16S ribosomal RNA
Rfam family: Bacterial small subunit ribosomal RNA
Source: RNAcentral